GCAGGCGACGCUUAUCAAUAGCGGCCCUGGCCUCCUCCCUCUGCUCUCUGUAACAUAACAGGCUGGCAGCGCCCAGAGAGGAUUUUGACUAUUCCAGUUUUAGUAAAAGGCUGGGGGAAAUCCAUAUAAGCAAGUCUAUUGUUCUUGGGGAGAAAAAGAGUAUGACUUUGGUGUAGAGAAAAGAGGACAGAAUCUGCAGAGGGACAGGUAGGAGGCAGGAUGACAGUCCUGGAGAAUGCCACAGGUGGAGGCCAGAACAUGGUGGAUCCGGGCAAAUCUGAGCUGACAGUGGGCCAGGAUGAGCUGCCUCGCAGGGAAGGUGCAGCCCAACCCCAGCUUCCCAGGAAAGACUUCCCCCUGAGUUCUUCUCAACUCAUCUCUGCAGACCGGCUUGCUCUACUCUUCCUUUAUCAUGGCAGAAUGUGCUUGGCUCCCAGGCUGACAUGGUGCAGAUGCAGCCACACAUACCAACUGACUCACAAUCCGUCAGGGGCCCAAACUCAAGCUUUCAGGUCUCAGCUCAAAUACCACCUCCUUGGAGAAAUCUCUGCUGACCACACUUGCUGAACUGACAGCCAGCUCCUCCCCUGCCCUUCUCUGAUAUGGGAUGAAUUGUGUCCCUCUCUCUUUGCAAAAACAUUUAUGUCAGUACCAUCCGAGCCCCGGAUACGUCAGAAUGUGACUGUUUUUGGAGAUAGGGCCUUUAAGGGGGCAAUUAAGUUAAAAUGAGGUCUUAAUCUAAUACGAAUGUGUCCUUCUAACAAGAGGAGAUUAGGACACAGACAGGCAUAUAAGAAAGACCAUGUGAAGAUAUAGAGAGACGUAAAAGCCAAGGAGAGAGGCCUCAGAAGAAACCCACCCUUCCAACAUCUGAUCUUGGACUUCUGGCCUCCAGAAUUGGGAGAAAAUAAAUUUCUGUUAUUUAAGUUACUCAGUUCCUG
Molecule: long non-coding RNA, 941 nt
Filed under: Homo sapiens (human)
Lineage: Eukaryota; Metazoa; Chordata; Mammalia; Primates; Hominidae
Description: HSALNT0211286
Source: RNAcentral